UUGAACAACAAGGGUUUGAACCGUGUGGGUUCACCUAUACACAGAUUCUUUUCAAUAAAUAUACAAAAAUAUACAUGGAGAACGAAGUGUGCAAGACUUGUAUUGAAGUGGAUAGCCUAUCCUUACAUAGGCAUAUGGGCUCUGUUUAAAAUUUUUCAGUGUGGCCUAACGUAUCAUCAGUUUGCAAAACCCCAGGAAAUGUGCUUGGCUACGAGACGCUGUUUCUUAGACCCUUCUGCAACUAGAUGUGGCCAGUGGGAUAUAAUUUAAGUGGUCUCUGAAGCUUCUCAGAAGGCUUCUGUUGGAGCAAGAAAGAAAAGAAACAUGGAGAGAGGAUUGAGGAAACAGGAUGCAAAAAACAAACCAAAACAAUGUUAAGAUUCUAGGGGUGGUGUUUGCCCUGACGUCUUUCAAAGGACAAAAUUGUGUGCUUUUGGAGAAUGCAAAGCUUUAAAUGAAUGCGCGUAUGACUUUAUGAAGAACUGGCUGUUCAAAGGAAACAGUAAGAAUAGCAUCAGAGCAAAGUAUAACCAAAAGAAGACUCCUCUUUCACAUCUCAACACUAAUCCUUCAGUCAAGGAGAUUUACCUGUACUAGGCACGUGGAAUACUUCCUGCUGUUGUGCUAGCGGCCAAGCACAGAGUGCGGCUCCAUCGCCCAGUAUCCUGGUUGGAGAGCCCCAUCUCUGCACCUUCCCACGGGCAUAAAAUUCUGAUCGUUCCUGUUGCUCUUCCUGAGUAUCCUUAUCCAGACCUUUGGCUUCAGGGUUGCCCGUGGAGCUGAAGGGGAACACUGAGCUGGCAAAGAAAACUGUCUCAACUUCUCCCGGCAGCUGAAAUAUUCCACUGACAUUAUUACAGAAAUCUGAAGUUCUGAGUUGUUCAAAAUGUGGAAAACAAUGUGGCUCAUAGAACCAGGAAAAUACGGUGAUUCCAGAACUCUAGAAAACUGUUUUGUUUCUUGGAAAUUGUGCCAGGCAUCAAAGACCUUUUAAAGCAUAGCCCCAGCCCUCAGGAAGUUUCUAUAAGAUGAAGUAAUGAUUAAUACAGAAGAAACCACAGGGGAGAGAAGCAAAGACCACUGCUGAUCACAUGUAAA
Molecule: long non-coding RNA, 1098 nt
Organism: Orcinus orca (killer whale)
Lineage: Eukaryota; Metazoa; Chordata; Mammalia; Artiodactyla; Delphinidae
Exons: 7
Source: RefSeq, a predicted model, not a curated record